AUGCUUAGGGCUGUUUUGAAGAAUAAUAAGAAAAUGUGGGAGGAAUGCUUGCCUCAUAUUGAAUUUGCUUAUAAUCGUUCAUUGCAGUCUACUACUAAGAUGUGCCCUUUUGAAGUUGUGUAUGGUUUCCUACCUCGUGCACCUAUUGAUUUGUUGCCUCUUCCAUCUUCAAAGAAGGUUAAUUUUGAUGCUAAACAACGUGCUGAAUUGAUUUUAAAAAUGCAUGAGUUAACUAAGGAAAACAUUGAGCGUAUGAAUGCUAAAUAUAAACUUGCUGGAGAUAAGGGUAGAAAACAUGUUGUGUUUGCACCUGGAGAUCUUGUUUGGUUACAUUUGCGUAAGGAUAGAUUUCCUGAUUUGCGCAAAUCAAAGCUAAUGCCACGUGCUGAUGGUCCCUUUAAGGUGUUAGAGAAAAUAAAUGAUAAUGCAUAUAAACUUGAGCUGCCUGCAGAUUUUGGGGUUAGUCCCACUUUUAACAUUGCAGAUUUGAAGCCUUAUUUGGGUGAGGAAGAUGAGUUUCCGUCGAGGACGACUUCAUUUCAAGAAGGGGAGGAUGAUGAGGACAUCAAUACCAUUGUUACACCCACAGCCCCUACUGCUACAUAUACUGGACCAAUUACUAGAGCUCGAGCACGCCAACUAAAUUACCAGGUACUUUCGUUUCUUGGUAAUGAUUCUAAUGUUCAUGAGAAUAUGAUGCUGCCUAAAUUGGAUACAUUUGUUUUGCUUACAAAUGAAGGGCCUAGCUUGGAGAAGGAUGAACAUUGGAGCAAGAACAAGCAUGGAGAUGAUGGCAUGCGCAAGGGGAACAAGAACGGAGUUACAAGUGAUGAUUUCAGGACUUUGAAGCCACCAUAA
Molecule: ribosomal RNA, 858 nt
Filed under: Triticum aestivum (bread wheat)
Lineage: Eukaryota; Viridiplantae; Streptophyta; Magnoliopsida; Poales; Poaceae
Description: partial small subunit ribosomal RNA
Source: RNAcentral